Molecule: ribosomal RNA, 710 nt
Filed under: uncultured Eubacteriales bacterium
Lineage: Bacteria; Bacillati; Bacillota; Clostridia; Eubacteriales
Description: bacterial SSU rRNA
Rfam family: Bacterial small subunit ribosomal RNA
Source: RNAcentral
GUCGAACGAUGAAACUUAAAUGAAUUCUUCGGAAUGAUUUUAAUUGGAUUAGUGGCGAACGGGUGAGUAACGCGUGAGUAACCUGCCUUACACAAGGGGAUAGCCUCUGGAAACGGAGAAUAAUACCCUAUGAAACUAUCUUAUCGCAUGAAAAGAUAGUCAAAGUGUUUUAGCGGUGUAAGAUGGACUUGCGUCUGAUUAGCUAGUUGGUGAGAUAACAGCCCACCAAGGCAACGAUCAGUAGCCGGCUUGAGAGAGUGUACGGCCACAUUGGGACUGAGACACGGCCCAGACUCCUACGGGAGGCAGCAGUGGGGAAUUUUGCACAAUGGGGGCAACCCUGAUGCAGCGACGCCGCGUGAUUUAGAAGGCCUUCGGGUUGUAAAAAUCUUUUGUAUAGGAAGAAAAUGACGGUACUAUACGAAUAAGGUCCGGCUAAUUACGUGCCAGCAGCCGCGGUAAUACGUAAGGACCGAGCGUUGUCCGGAAUCAUUGGGCGUAAAGGGUACGUAGGCGGUUAGAAAAGUUAGAAGUGAAAGGCUAUAGCUCAACUAUAGUAAGCUUUUAAAACUGUUUAACUUGAGAGAUGGAAGGGAAAGUGGAAUUCCUAGUGUAGCGGUGAAAUGCGCAGAUAUUAGGAGGAAUACCGGUGGCGAAGGCGACUUUCUGGCCAUUAUCUGACGCUGAGGUACGAAAGCGUGGGUAGCAAA